CGUACACUCCUACGGGAGGCAGCAGUGGGGAAUAUUGGACAAUGGGCGCAAGCCUGAUCCAGCCAUGCCGCGUGAGUGAUGAAGGCCCUAGGGUUGUAAAGCUCUUUCACCGGUGAAGAUAAUGACGGUAACCGGAGAAGAAGCCCCGGCUAACUUCGUGCCAGCAGCCGCGGUAAUACGAAGGGGGCUAGCGUUGUUCGGAUUUACUGGGCGUAAAGCGCACGUAGGCGGACUAUUAAGUCAGGGGUGAAAUCCCGGGGCUCAACCCCGGAACUGCCUUUGAUACUGGUAGUCUUGAGUUCGAGGGAGGUGAGUGGAAUUCCGAGUGUAGAGGUGAAAUUCGUAGAUAUUCGGAGGAACACCAGUGGCGAAGGCGGCUCACUGGCUCGAUACUGACGCUGAGGUGCGAAAGCGUGGGGAGCAAACAGGAUUAGAUACCCCAGUAGUCCCA
This 451-nucleotide ribosomal RNA is filed under the name uncultured organism. RNAcentral describes it as "partial 16S ribosomal RNA". It matches the Rfam family "Bacterial small subunit ribosomal RNA", at positions 330 to 797 of the family's 1533-position model. The record is from RNAcentral.